GUAAACCAAGGUUAUAAUUAACUAUUGGAGAUUUUCUUACCACAGUAACCUAUAUUACUGUCAUACCUCUAACACAGACACACUUUGCUCCAGUGUAAGGAAAUGAAUUUCACAGUGUUGUACCACAACAUAUUUUUUGGCUAACUAUUUUGGCCUGAUAUCCUUCAUUCAAGUUUGAACUGGCGCGGUGAAAUGGACCUUCCAACCUCUCUCUCAUUAUCAUUCAGUUUUCAUCUCUAUCUCUCUCUCUCUCUCUCUCUCUCUCUCUCUCUCUCUCUCUUGCUUCAAAAAGCAAAUGUCACUCAUUUCCCGUCUGGCUCGCGAAUCCGGAGUGUUGUAGCUUAGCAACCGCCUCUGAUCCAUCAAAUGAAACAGGAAGGAAAAGCCGCCGUGUUCGUUAUUACAGCUUCAUGACUGAACAAGAGCCGCAUUAAACUACACCUUUUAAUCAACUAAAGGUGGAGUUUAAUGCAAAAGAUAACAAAAGUUUUUUUUCCCCCUAACCUUUUUUAAUGCACUGCCUAUUUCACGUUACCUAUUGUAACUUCGAAUUAGCUAGGUUCAGACUUCCGCCAUGGUUUUGAAGCUUAGCUUGGCACUGGACUUAUUUAUUUAUUUAUGUAUUUAUUUUUACCUUCUUCUCAAGUAUUAAUUAAAUUAAUUAUUAAUUACAAGUAAAAAUUAUAAACGCAAAAUAAAGGUUAAACUCACCUUUUAAUUCAACAUAAAAUAUUUGCCUUGUUUAACCUACCUGCGCCGUACAGAACCAAGCUGUUAAAUGUCAAUAAGGGAAAAUAAACGUUAAUUUACCUCAGGUCUGUCUUAACUAACAGUCUCGUUAGUGCUGUUGGAUAAGGGCCUAUGUUUCGACUUAUAAAAGCCUUCCUUUACAUUUUUGUAUUUUUUUUUCCAGACGGGCUAAAUCGGUUUUAAAUGUCUCAAGUUCAUAAAAGGUUGAUUAGACACCAAAAAAGUUGUGAAUACAAAUGCAGCAGCUUUUCUGUGCUACAAAUUUGAGCUUUAUAAAAUGUGGAGCACGGCCUGAGAUGCUGAAAGUCAAGGCCAAAAACACAAAGCAAGAGUACAGCGUUUGGGAGGCAGAGAACGAGCCGAGAGUGGGAGUAGGAAUAUGGGAUGAUGGAGGACUGAACUGAGAGCAGGUGAACACAGCUGUGGACCGCCGCCGGCUCUCUUCUUCCUCUCCUCCCUCUCUUCUUCCUCUCCUCAUGAGGCUCCGGCUCUGUGUCUCGGGGUCUCGGGGAGACAGCAGGGGCCGGCCAGGCUUCAACGGAGUGGGCAGCAGAGGCGGGCAGUUGCACCCACCGGGCACAGGCUCCUCAGCAGAGCAAUCAAUACGGAGGGAAGAGGCUGCCAGGGGUCGGGCGACGCAGCCCCGGGCCAUGGUGCCAAGGGAUCACAAGCGCUCAUCUCUCCCUUUACCAGUCAACUUGCAUCAGCCAAAGGCGGACCAUGUGUGAGAGCAAGAGUGUGUAUGUGUGUGUGUGGUUCUGCUGGAGGGACCUUCAGUCCCAACACCACUUGAUAAAACUUUGUCUGCGGGAGAAUGAACAGAAAAAGAGUGUCAAAGGUCUUUUUCCCUCUCCUCGAUUCCUUUUUUACUGUGAGUGCACAUUCCCAUCGACUGUUUGAAUGAGGGCUUGACGUACAAUCCCUCUUUCAGGCCCUCCUCCAAGCCUCUACAUCAGAUGAGCUGGCAAGAGAGGACAACUUGAACUUUUGUCUUUUUUGGACGACAUUUUUUCGCCUUUUCUGUUGUAGAUUAAAUUAGAUGAUUUUUUCAAAAUCCUCGCCACUGUUUGAGAGCUUCUAAAAAGGCUUUGGUUUUAAUCCACAUGAAGAGGCUUGGCACUCUUUUCUACAUACUUCAAUACUUCUGGACCUCCACAGUACCAGGUUUUAAUAAGAUGCCAUUCAGACGGAGUGCAAAGUUGGAGCUGAGCUCCAAACUAGGACCAAAAUGACUCAAUAAACUUUCCCAGUGUUUGUCACACACUGUUUUCAGUCAUUCCCUGAUCCAGAGCUGAUAAGGAAAGCUCCAUUUCCUUCCAUGAGACACAACGAACAUAGGUGAAUGGAGUGUGUAUGUUGCUAAAGGUAGUGCCAUGUCCCCAUGGAUUCUUUAAGGAAUGAAGUUUGCCAGGAGAUGAUGGAGUCUAAUCCUCUGAAAUGGAGUUAUGAGUGUUGUUCAGAGCCGCUCCCUGGAUGGUGUGUUUCAGAUCUGUAGCCCUGACCCAGUGCAGGAUGAAAACCAUGACGUCAAUGAUAUUUUACUGUCAAUGACUGCUUAAAGAAUUUAGCUUUUGCCCCUUUAAUACUGGUGAGUAUUUCAAUAAGGUAAGUUUCUGAUCAUAAUUUAACAGCAUAAAUAAAAAAAAUGCUGUGAUACUGCAUUCAUAUAAACUUUUCUGUUUGUUUGUUUGUUUGUUUAUUGGCACCUAGAGUAUAAAAAUAAACUUUGGGUUGCAGGUUUCUCAUCUAAAAAAUGUUUUUCGCUCUUUUUUUUUUUUUUUUACUAUAUUGUAACAUUUUUUUCAGUUGCAACAAGUACAUUUUUCCCAUUGGUAUGGUUUUGAUUGUAUCUAACCUGUAUGAUGUAUAGCACACUAUGGAAAUCUGAAACAUUUAUACACUUAAUAGAGUACUAUACAGCUACAGAUGACGAUAUCAUUUGCAGGCAUAUUUGCAUUUUUAAGAACAAACAUACAAGACGAAAAAGCACAACCUGCUCGUACAAAGCAUGAUAUCCUUAUAGCCAUACGUUAAUUAUAGCAUAAUCUCUGAUAUUUCUUGAAGCUGUAUACUAUUGUAUGAAUACUGUAAUAAUAAAUGAAUUAUGCAGAAUGAAUGAACAAUAAAAGUGAAACCUGAAUUUUUUCUGUGUUGUGUGUGUUUUUUAACUUACGUUUGUCCAAUACAAUAUAAAACUGUUUCUCAUUAUUAUUGACGGGGAUACAUAAAUAAAUGUUUAUUUCCAUGGGUAAACAAAUUAAUAUACACUACCGAUGAAAAGUUUAGACACACUCAUUCUUUAUUUUAAUUUGAAUUUUUCCACAUUUUAAAAUAAUAAUAAAGUCAUCAAAACUCUGGAGUAACACAAAUAGGAACUAUGGGAAUUAUGUUGUGAUAAAAAUAGAAUAAAUACAAAUAAUUUAAUAUUUGAGCAUCUUUAAAGAUGCCCUUUUUGCCUAGAAUCUCCAGAAAUGUAUUCUUGGCAUUUUCUCAACCGAUUUCUUGAGGAAUUUCCCAGAGAUGCGUUUUAACCAGUAUUAAAGGAGUUCACACCUACGCUGGACACUUAUUGGCUGCUUUCCGGAAUAUUUCGCUCCAAGUCAUCCAUUUAAACAA
This is a long non-coding RNA of Ictalurus punctatus (channel catfish), 3366 nucleotides long. NCBI's taxonomy places the organism in Eukaryota, Metazoa, Chordata, Actinopteri, Siluriformes, Ictaluridae. The record is from Ensembl.